AAUGGGCAGGAAAAAAACUACUUUUGAAGGCUAUUUUAUUCAAAUACAAGUUUUAGGAAAGUUGUUAGAGAAAAAUGGAAGAAAAAAUAUCACCCCCGUCCCAACUUUCCAUUCUGAGUAGUUACUUUCAAAGACACAACUUGAUGUAGUUCAGCAUCAUUUCCGAAAUGUAAUUCCAUAGAAUGUCUACUGAUCAUAUCUGGGAUAAGAGCAUUUUUUUAAAAAUAAUUUUUACUUUUUACAUUAGAGCUUGUUUAUAGUGUUCUGUCAAUUUUAUACUGUACAGCAAGGUGAGCCAGUCACAAAUAUACAUGUGUACAUUCUUUUUCUCACAUUAUCAUGCUCCAUCAUAAAUGACUAAAUAGUUUCCAGUGCUAUACAGCAGGAUCUCAUUGCUUAUCCAUUCCAAAGGCAAUAGUUUGCAUCUAUUAACUCCAAAUUCCCAGUCUCUCCCACUCCCUCCUCCUCCCCCUUGGCAACCACAAGUCAAGGACAGUUGUUUUUUUUCUUUGUUUGUUUUUAAUGAUUCUCUAAUGUCUCCCAAUACAGAGCCACAUUAACUGAAAUGUAUUCCAUUUUGGAACCAUUUUUAUGGACUUUUGUGGGAAAAGAGAGCUAAGCUGGGUUCCUUUGGGAAAGGUGGUCUUGGUCUUUGUGGAAUAUAGGAUUUGGAGUGGUAUCUUAUAGACUUGAGUCCUGGCUCUGUCCUGCACUCAAGUGUAAAAUUGGACAAAUCAUUUAACUGCUCAGAACCCUGGGUUCUGAUCUAUAAAAUGGAAAUGAAUCACAUCCUGACUUACAACAGAUACUUUUAAAUUAGAGGCUACCUUACAUACUUUAGAGAACAGGAUUCACAGAUACUCUGCACCUCUAUCCUGCCCCACAUAGCUGCAUAUUAACAUUCUAACUUCUAUUUAUCCAGAAAUUAGUGAAAGGGGAUUUACAGAUAUGAAGGAUGGAAGAGGAAGAAAAGGAGGAAUAGAACAGAGCAACCAGGCUAGUGUGUCCAGGGAAUGGUCAACCAGUAGUACAGGCCUUGUGGGCUGCACACUUACCUUUACAAUUAAAAUCAUCAGGGAAUUAUUAGAACCAGAUAAAAAAGAUCAAAUACUGUAAAUUUGUAAAGCUUUUUAUGUUGCUGUUUGUGAGGGUAUGGUGGGUAGAGAAGAUGGGAGAGAAUCCUCCUGCCAUGUAACUGUUAUCACUGUAAGACAGUGUUUUCUAAGCUGUCUUGGGUUAGGGACUUUUGGAGUCUCUGAUGAGAAGGAUGGACUCUAGAAAAAUUCCCAUGUAUAUCUUCAACUCCAAUUUUACCUACAAAUCACCUGAAACCUGUCUAGAGAGGCGGUGAUCCAUGGACAUCAGGGUAAGAGACCUGGCCGUAAGGCAGGAAUUGAGCUUUCUCUCUUUAUGCAGCACUCUAUUUUCUGUUUUGUUUUAAUUUUCAAUGUGAUUGUUCCCCUGGGUCAUAAGCAGGCACAAAAGGUCUGGCGCUAUGCUAAGAACUUCCUCAACCCUCAACAGUAAUCCUACUGGGUAGUAGAGUUUGUGGUUGUUCUUUAUGUAACUUGACUAAUGACCAAGUCAAAUGUUUUGAUUGUCCCUGGAUGAGUUUGGGGAGCCUAAUAUAGCUUCUAACAGGAGACAAUGAACUACUCGAUACCUUUCACCACAGAUUAUAAUGUAUCCUUGAUAAGGCUGCCCUUUUCUGUCAAGUAUAGCCUUUAGCACCACCUGGGAGAGGUCCAAAUGGCAUAGAGGAGGAAAGAUCACUCAGGCUACUGGAACAUCUUGGGUACCUUAUAGUAUGUCAGAUCACUAUGAAAUUCAAGGCAUGUGGGUGUAUAUGUACCUUUAAAAAUACAAGGAAUUUUGCUAUUCAAAUAUUCAAAUUGGCAGAGCAACAAAAAUUACCUAAGUUUUAUUGAGAUCAGAAACAGUUCUCAAAGAUUUGCUUUUCUAGUCAUUAGAAUUUCCAUUCCUGACCUAGAAAAGAGAUGCAUAUGUCUAUAUUUAUUCUGGUAACUCUUACAAUACCAGAUGUUUAAUUUUGAUAACACCUGUAAUCAAUUCCCAGGGAGCAAGCUGUUUCCAGAACAUCAAAAAAGGCACACAUAUUCUUUAAAUAAGCUAAGUGUAUAAAUGGCUGAAACGCUAAAAUUGAGGGAUUCUGUGUUUGAGUAAUGUGGAUAUUGGAAGCAACUUUACAGAAGUGUAUAUAAUUGGAAAAUAAGGUUUAUUGGGGAUAACAUCGAAGUAUUUAUCAGUAAAUUUUCUGAGAUGCUAAGGUGAAAGACCCUGAAGAAGUACAAAGAAUCAUCAUUAUCAUCAUCAUCAUUAAUAGUUAGGCUAGUACUCUAAUGAUUUUCUCGAAGUUGCUUUCUUGGUAUUACAUGAGUUUACUUUUGGGAUGUGAUUGCAAUUAGGGUGUAGAAACUGCUGAUUUGAGUUAACUCUGGGAACAAAAAGAAAGCAAAGCAACCAAGCAUCACCAAACCAAAAAACUCUUUUAAGAUGAGCAAAUUUCCCAUGCCUCAGUUUUUCAUAUUUAUUUCCAAAUCUACUCUGUCAUAUAAAUUAACAUCCCAGAAUGGAAGGUUGGUUAUCAGAGAAAAAACAGAAAUGAUGCUAGAUCUCAUAAUGCAAGGUAACUGCAGUAUUUAUGGAUAAUGACCACAGCUCAGGCUGCAUUAAAUUUGAAUUUCCGCAGAUUGUGUCAAAAGAAAUGACAUUAGCUUGUCCAAAGUCAGAAAACCCAUGACUCGGAAAUUGGUUCUUUGGAAUAGGUCCAUAUGGUGAGUUAAUGUGAUUUGGCACUAUCUGGGUGGUGUUCUGGAAAACAAACUUGCUUUUUCUGCAAAGAAAAACCAGAUUCCAAACACUCACAGGGUUCUUAUACUACACAUGGAUAUUUUGCUCUACUUUCAAGUUUUUGUGGACGUAGCCAUUUUGAAUGAUGACAUGUUCAGAUAAAGUGAUAGUUUUCCUGAAAGACUGAUUACAUCUUCAAGUGAAAAAGCCAACUUG
Molecule: long non-coding RNA, 3027 nt
Filed under: Sus scrofa (pig)
Lineage: Eukaryota; Metazoa; Chordata; Mammalia; Artiodactyla; Suidae
Description: lncRNA (ENSSSCG00000059442.1)
Source: RNAcentral